CCUACGGGAGGCAGCAGUGGGGGAUAUUGCACAAUGGGGGAAACCCUGAUGCAGCGACGCCGCGUGGGUGAAGAAGCGCCUCGGCGCGUAAAGCCCUGUCAGCAGGGAAGAAAAUGACGGUACCUGAAGAAGAAGCCCCGGCUAACUACGUGCCAGCAGCCGCGGUAAUACGUAGGGGGCAAGCGUUAUCCGGAUUUACUGGGUGUAAAGGGGGCGCAGACGGCGAUGCAAGCCAGGAGUGAAAGCCCGGGGCCCAACCCCGGGACUGCUUUUGGAACUGCGUGGCUAGAGUGCAGGAGAGGCAGGCGGAAGGCCUGGUGUAGCGGUGAAAUGCGUAGAUAUCAGGAGGAACACCGGUGGCGAAGGCAGCCUGCUGGACUGCAACUGACGUUGAGGCCCGAAAGCGUGGGGAGCAAACAGGAUUAGAUACCCCAGUAGUC
Molecule: ribosomal RNA, 440 nt
Filed under: uncultured bacterium
Lineage: Bacteria
Description: partial 16S ribosomal RNA
Rfam family: Bacterial small subunit ribosomal RNA
Source: RNAcentral